GACGAACGCUGGCGGCGUGCUUAACACAUGCAAGUCGAACGGAAAGGCCCUGCUUUUGUGGGGUGCUCGAGUGGCGAACGGGUGAGUAACACGUGAGUAACCUGCCCUUCACUUUGGGAUAACUUCAGGAAACUGGGGCUAAUACCGGAUAGGAGCUCCUGCUGCAUGGUGGGGGUUGGAAAGUUUCGGCGGUUGGGGAUGGACUCGCGGCUUAUCAGCUUGUUGGUGGGGUAGUGGCUUACCAAGGCUUUGACGGGUAGCCGGCCUGAGAGGGUGACCGGCCACAUUGGGACUGAGAUACGGCCCAGACUCCUACGGGAGGCAGCAGUGGGGAAUAUUGCACAAUGGGCGGAAGCCUGAUGCAGCAACGCCGCGUGCGGGAUGACGGCCUUCGGGUUGUAAACCGCUUUCGCCUGUGACGAAGCGUGAGUGACGGUAAUGGGUAAAGAAGCACCGGCUAACUACGUG
Molecule: ribosomal RNA, 468 nt
Filed under: uncultured bacterium
Lineage: Bacteria
Description: partial 16S ribosomal RNA
Rfam family: Bacterial small subunit ribosomal RNA
Source: RNAcentral